RNAcentral lists this ribosomal RNA (484 nucleotides) under uncultured bacterium. RNAcentral describes it as "partial 16S ribosomal RNA". It matches the Rfam family "Bacterial small subunit ribosomal RNA", at positions 30 to 507 of the family's 1533-position model. The record is from RNAcentral.
AUUGAACGCUGGCGGCAGGCCUAACACAUGCAAGUCGAGCGGAUGAAGGGAGCUUGCUCCUGGAUUCAGCGGCGGACGGGUGAGUAAUGCCUAGGAAUCUGCCUGGGAGUGGGGGAUAACGUCCGGAAACGGGCGCUAAUACCGCAUACGUCCUGAGGGAGAAAGUGGGGGAUCUUCGGACCUCACGCUAUCAGAUGAGCCUAGGUCGGAUUAGCUAGUUGGUGGGGUAAAGGCCUACCAAGGCGACGAUCCGUAACUGGUCUGAGAGGAUGAUCAGUCACACUGGAACUGAGACACGGUCCAGACUCCGACGGGAGGCAGCAGUGGGGAAUAUUGGACAAUGGGCGAAAGCCUGAUCCAGCCAUGCCGCGUGUGUGAAGAAGGUCUUCGGAUUGUAAAGCACUUUGAGUUGGGGGGAAGGGCAGUAAGUUAAUACCUUGCUGUUUUGACGUUACCAACAGAAUAAGCACCGGCUAACUUCGUG